Molecule: ribosomal RNA, 872 nt
Filed under: uncultured archaeon
Lineage: Archaea
Description: bacterial SSU rRNA
Rfam family: Archaeal small subunit ribosomal RNA
Source: RNAcentral
GCUACUGCUAUCGGGGUCCGACUAAGCCAUGCGAGUUGAGAGGGGUAAGCCCUCGGCGAAUUGCUCAGUAACACGCGGACAACCUGCCCUUGGGUCCGGGAUAACCCCGGGAAACUGGGACUAAUACCGGAUAGAUCAAGGAUACUGGAAUGUUCCCUGGUCUAAAACUCCGGUGCCCAAGGAUGGGUCUGCGGCCUAUCAGGUAGUAGUGGGUGUAACGUACCUACUAGCCUACGACGGGUAAGGGUUGUGAGAGCAAGAGCCCUGAGAUGGAUUCUGAGACAUGAAUCCAGGCCCUACGGGGUGCAGCAGGCGCGAAAACUUUACACUGCGGGAAACCGCGAUAAGGGGACCCCGAGUGCCAGCACCUAGUGCUGGCUGUCCCGCUGUCUAAACAACAGUGGUUAGCAAGGGCCGGGCAAGACCGGUGCCAGCCGCCGCGGUAACACCGGCGGCCCGAGUGGUAGCCGUUAUUAUUGGGUUUAAAGGGUCCGUAGCCGGCCUGUUAAGUCUCUUGGGAAAUCUGGCGACUUAAUCGUCAGGCGUCCAAGAGAUACUGACAGGCUUGGGACCGGGAGAGGUGGGAGGUACUCCAGGGGUAGGGGUGAAAUCUCGUAAUCCUUGGGGGACCACCGAUGGCGAAGGCAUCCCACCAGAACGGGUCCGACGGUGAGGGACGAAAGCUGGGGGCACGAACCGGAUUAGAUACCCGGGUAGUCCCAGCUGUAAACGGUGCUCGCUAGGUGUCAGGUGCGGUGCGACCGCAUCUGGUGCCGCAGUGAAAACUUGAAGCGAGUCACCUGGGAAGUACGGUCGCAAGGUUGAAACUUAAAGGAAUUGGCGGGGGAGCACCACAAGGGGUGAAGCUGCGG